GCUGGGAAUGGUGGCACGUGCCUGUAGUCCCAGCUACUCGGGAGGCUAAGGUGGGAGGAUCGGCCCAGGAGUUCUGGGCUAUAUUGAUCAGGUGUCCACACUAAGUUUGGCAUCAAUAUGGCGACCUCCCAGGAGUGGGGAACCACAAGGUUGCCUAAGGAGGGGUGAUCUGGCCCAGGUCGGAAACGGAGCAGGUCAAAACUCCCAUGCUGAUCAGUAGUGGGAUCAUGCCUGUGAAUAGCCACUGCACUUCAGCCCGACAGCAUAGUAAGACCAUGUCUCU
This 283-nucleotide signal recognition particle RNA is filed under the name Aotus nancymaae (Ma's night monkey). RNAcentral describes it as "Metazoan signal recognition particle RNA (ENSANAG00000005954.1)". It matches the Rfam family "Metazoan signal recognition particle RNA". From Rfam's summary of the family: The signal recognition particle (SRP) is a universally conserved ribonucleoprotein. Lineage: Eukaryota; Metazoa; Chordata; Mammalia; Primates; Aotidae. The record is from RNAcentral.